RNAcentral lists this ribosomal RNA (448 nucleotides) under uncultured bacterium. RNAcentral's name for it is "bacterial SSU rRNA". It matches the Rfam family "Bacterial small subunit ribosomal RNA", at positions 398 to 838 of the family's 1533-position model. The record is from RNAcentral.
CGCGUGAGUGAGGAAGGCUUCGGGUCGUAAAGCUCUGUCAGUGGGGAAGAAGUGUUAUGAGGUUAAUACCCUUGUAAUUUGACGGUACCUGCAAAGGAAGCACCGGCUAACUCCGUGCCAGCAGCCGCGGUAAUACGGAGGGUGCAAGCGUUGUUCGGAAUCACUGGGCGUAAAGGGCGCGCAGGCGGUUUUACAAGUCAGAUGUGAAAGCCCACGGCUUAACCGUGGAAGUGCAUUUGAAACUGUAAGACUUGAGUAUCAGAGGGGAAAGUGGAAUUCCCGGUGUAGAGGUGAAAUUCGUAGAUAUCGGGAGGAAUACCGGUGGCGAAGGCGACUUUCUGGCUGAAUACUGACGCUGAGGCGCGAAAGCGUGGGUAGCAAACAGGAUUAGAUACCCUGGUAGUCCACGCCGUAAACGAUGUGCACUAGAUGUAGGAGGUAUUGAUCC